Molecule: unclassified non-coding RNA, 211 nt
Filed under: soil metagenome
Description: partial contains 5.8S ribosomal RNA, internal transcribed spacer 2, and large subunit ribosomal RNA
Source: RNAcentral
AACCUUAUGGACCUGCGGGCGUAUACCUGCGGAGGGAUCAUUACCGAGUUUACAACUCCCAAACCCCUGUGAACAUACCUAUACGUUGCCUCGGCGGAUCAGCCCGCGCCCCGUAAAAAGGGACGGCCCGCCCGAGGACCCCUAAACUCUGUUUUUAGUGGAACUUCUGAGUAAAACAAACAAAUAAAUCAAAACUUUCAGCAAUGGAUCU